AGUGAACGCUGGCGGUAGGCCUAACACAUGCAAGUCGAACGGCAGCACAGUAAGAGCUUGCUCUUACGGGUGGCGAGUGGCGGACGAGUGAGGAAUACAUCGGAAUCUACUUUUUCGUGGGGGAUAACGUAGGGAAACUUACGCUAAUACCGCAUACGACCUACGGGUGAAAGCAGGGGAUCUUCGGACCUUGCGCGAUUGAAUGAGCCGAUGUCGGAUUAGCUAGUUGGCGGGGUAAAGGCCCACCAAGGCGACGAUCCGUAGCUGGUCUGAGAGGAUGAUCAGCCACACUGGAACUGAGACACGGUCCAGACUCCUACGGGAGGCAGCAGUGGGGAAUAUUGGACAAUGGGCGCAAGCCUGAUCCAGCCAUACCGCGUGGGUGAAGAAGGCCUUCGGGUUGUAAAGCCCUUUGUUGGGAAAGAAAAGCAGCAGGUUAAUACCCCGCUGUUCUGACGGUACCCAAAGAAUAAGCACCGGCUAACUUCGUG
This 491-nucleotide ribosomal RNA is filed under the name uncultured bacterium. RNAcentral describes it as "partial 16S ribosomal RNA". It matches the Rfam family "Bacterial small subunit ribosomal RNA", at positions 29 to 507 of the family's 1533-position model. The record is from RNAcentral.